This 141-nucleotide small nuclear RNA is filed under the name Nannospalax galili (Upper Galilee mountains blind mole rat). RNAcentral describes it as "U4 spliceosomal RNA (ENSNGAG00000001987.1)". It matches the Rfam family "U4 spliceosomal RNA". Rfam says of the family: U4 small nuclear RNA (U4 snRNA) is a component of the major U2-dependent spliceosome. The structure of U4 snRNA from yeast and human has been reported. U4 snRNA presents a k-turn RNA motif in the 5p-SL related to recognition of Snu13 protein. The record is from Rfam by way of RNAcentral. Lineage: Eukaryota; Metazoa; Chordata; Mammalia; Rodentia; Spalacidae.
AGCUUUGCACAAUGGCAGUAUCAUAGCCAAUGAGGUUUAUCCGAGGCACAAUUAUUGCUAAUUGAAAACUUUUCCCAAUUCCCCGCCAUGAUGACUUGAAUAUAGUUGGCACAGGCAAUUUUUUUUUUAUUGUUUUUUAAU